UCUUACGGCCAUAUCACGUUGAAAACACCGGUUCUCGUCUGAUCACCGAAGUUAAGCAACGUCGAGCCUAGUUAGUACUUAGAUGGGUGACCGCUUGGGAAACCUAGGUGAUGUAGGCA
Molecule: ribosomal RNA, 119 nt
Filed under: Octopus vulgaris (common octopus)
Lineage: Eukaryota; Metazoa; Mollusca; Cephalopoda; Octopoda; Octopodidae
Also listed under: 1 other name
Source: RNAcentral